UACGUAGGGUGCAAGCGUUGUCCGGAAUUACUGGGCGUAAAGCGCACGUAGGCGGUCUUUUAAGUCGGGGGUGAAAUCCUGGAGCUCAACUCCAGAACUGCCUUCGAUACUGGAAGACUUGAGUCCGGGAGAGGUGAGUGGAAUUCCCAGUGUAGAGGUGAAAUUCGUAGAUAUUGGGAAGAACACCGGUGGCGAAGGCGGCGACCUGGUCCUUAACUGACGCUGAGGCGCGAAAGCGUGGGGAGCAAACAGG
This 253-nucleotide ribosomal RNA is filed under the name uncultured bacterium. Its description in RNAcentral is "partial 16S ribosomal RNA". It matches the Rfam family "Bacterial small subunit ribosomal RNA", at positions 524 to 776 of the family's 1533-position model. The record is from RNAcentral.